UACCAAAUGAAUAAGCACCGGCUAACUCCGUGCCAGCAGCCGCGGUAAUACGGAGGGUGCAAGCGUUAUCCGGAAUCAUUGGGUUUAAAGGGUCCGCAGGCGGGCAUAUAAGUCAGUGGUGAAAGCCUACAGCUCAACUGUAGAACUGCCAUUGAUACUGUAAGUCUUGAAUUCGGUCGAAGUGGGCGGAAUGUGUAGUGUAGCGGUGAAAUGCAUAGAUAUUACACAGAACACCGAUAGCGAAGGCAGCUCACUAGGCCUGGAUUGACGCUCAGGGACGAAAGCGUGGGGAUCAAACAGGAUUAGAUACCCUGGUAGU
RNAcentral lists this ribosomal RNA (319 nucleotides) under uncultured Cytophagales bacterium. Its description in RNAcentral is "bacterial SSU rRNA". It matches the Rfam family "Bacterial small subunit ribosomal RNA", at positions 476 to 794 of the family's 1533-position model. The record is from RNAcentral. Lineage: Bacteria; Pseudomonadati; Bacteroidota; Sphingobacteriia; Sphingobacteriales.